RNAcentral lists this transfer RNA (77 nucleotides) under Bacteroidales bacterium. Its description in RNAcentral is "tRNA-Asp". It matches the Rfam family "tRNA". From Rfam's summary of the family: Transfer RNA (tRNA) molecules are approximately 80 nucleotides in length. The record is from RNAcentral. Lineage: Bacteria; Pseudomonadati; Bacteroidota; Bacteroidia; Bacteroidales.
GGUGCGGUAGUUCAGCUGGUUAGAAUGCCGGCCUGUCACGCCGGAGGUCGAGGGUUCGAGCCCCUUCCGCACCGCCA